Drosophila willistoni is the source of this 772-nucleotide long non-coding RNA. RefSeq lists it as uncharacterized. The record is from RefSeq and is a predicted model, not a curated record. Lineage: Eukaryota; Metazoa; Arthropoda; Insecta; Diptera; Drosophilidae. The transcript is spliced from 3 exons.
GAGCCACCAUCGAUAGUUUUUUUUGUCACUAUCGAUAGUAUUGAGCAUUUUUAAUAGCAACACAUCACUUGAAUUGGCGCAAAAAGCAAGUACUGGCUGCUGCAUAUUGGUGUGGGUUGGUGUUUCUGAGCAUGGAGAAAUAUUUGAAAAACCUGAAAAGAAAGGACAACGAAGAAGCAGAACAUAUCAGCUCAAAUGAGGAAAAUAAGGAAACAAAAAGGUCUAGACUUGGGAAGUCAAAAGUUUGGACUUUUUUUACAAAGUCCAAUGACGGUAAGUCGGCGAAGUGUCUUUCGUUCGAAAAAGUGUAUAAAAUCAGCGGAAAAAUCGGUCAAAUCUCUUUGAUCAUAUGAAGCGUGUGCAUCCAACAAUAAACGUUGGAGAUUUACCGGCUACAUUACCAAGGAUUGAUGCUUUUGUCCCUACAAAGUAUGAUGCGAAUUCUCGUCGAAAGGGGGAAUUAGAUACGGCUGUAAUGAAGUACAUUGCUACUGACAUGCGACCAUUUUCAGUUGUGGAAGACACUGGCUUUCGAAGUAUGCUUAAUGUAUUCGAUCCAAAAUAUAAGUUACCAUCGCGCAAGACUUUAAAAAAUAUGUGAAAAAUAAUGGCGGAACAAUAUGAAGCAAAAACCAUCAAAUUGAUGGCAAUAUUAAAAAAAAUUGAUUAUUGCGCAAUAACAACGGAUCUCUGGACGUCGUUGGCCAAUGAAGCAUACAUUACAGUAACAUGCACAUUCAUAACAAACGAGUUUAAGCUGCAAACUGCCGUA